CCGACCUUAGCUCAGAUGGAAGAGCAAGGAGAACGUGUAGGGUUUUAAACACCCAACGCCUCCUUUGGUCGCUGGUUCAAUUCCAGCAGGUCGGA
This 95-nucleotide transfer RNA is filed under the name Asparagus officinalis (garden asparagus). Its description in RNAcentral is "tRNA A4U43_Thr38". The record is from RNAcentral. Lineage: Eukaryota; Viridiplantae; Streptophyta; Magnoliopsida; Asparagales; Asparagaceae.